UUGGUUUUCGGACCAAGAGACCGGCGCACGGGUGCGUAACGCGUAUGCAAUCUACCUUUUACAGAGGGAUAGCCCAGAGAAAUUUGGAUUAAUACCUCAUAGUAUUAUUGAAUGGCAUCAUUUAAUAAUUAAAGUUCCAACGGUAAAAGAUGAGCAUGCGUCCCAUUAGCUAGAUGGUAAGGUAACGGCUUACCAUGGCAACGAUGGGUAGGGGUCCUGAGAGGGAGAUCCCCCACACUGGUACUGAGACACGGACCAGACUCCUACGGGAGGCAGCAGUGAGGAAUAUUGGUCAAUGGGCGCAAGCCUGAACCAGCCAUGCCGCGUGCAGGAUGACGGUCCUAUGGA
Molecule: ribosomal RNA, 348 nt
Filed under: uncultured bacterium
Lineage: Bacteria
Description: bacterial SSU rRNA
Rfam family: Bacterial small subunit ribosomal RNA
Source: RNAcentral